This 324-nucleotide ribosomal RNA is filed under the name uncultured eukaryote. RNAcentral's name for it is "partial 18S ribosomal RNA". It matches the Rfam family "Eukaryotic small subunit ribosomal RNA", at positions 1470 to 1796 of the family's 1831-position model. The record is from RNAcentral.
CCCUUAGAUGUUCUGGGCCGCACGCGCGCUACACUGAUGCAUUCAACGAGUUUCUUCCUGGUCCGAGAGAAAUGGGUAACCUUUUGAAAGUGCAUCGUGAUAGGGAUAGACUAUUGCAAUUAUUGGUCUUCAACGAGGAAUUCCUAGUAGACGUAGUUCAUCAGACUGCAUCGAUUACGUCCCUGCCCUUUGUACACACCGCCCGUCGCUCCUACCGAUUGAAUGCUCAGGUGAGCCAUUCGGACUUUCAUCAUGCUGGUUUCCAGUUUUGAUGAAGGAAAGUCUUGCGAACCUUAUCAUUUAGAGGAAGGAGAAGUCGUAACA